RNAcentral lists this ribosomal RNA (253 nucleotides) under uncultured bacterium. RNAcentral describes it as "partial 16S ribosomal RNA". It matches the Rfam family "Bacterial small subunit ribosomal RNA", at positions 524 to 776 of the family's 1533-position model. The record is from RNAcentral.
UACGAGGGGGGCAAGCGUUGUUCGGAAUUAUUGGGCGUAAAGGGCGCGUAGGCGGUGCGGUAAGUCACCUGUGAAAACUCUGGGCUCAACUCAGAGCCUGCAGGCGAAACUGCCGUGCUUGAGUGUGGGAGAGGUGCGUGGAAUUCCCGGUGUAGCGGUGAAAUGCGCAGAUAUCAGGAGGAACACCGGUGGCGAAGGCGGGUCUCUGGGCCGAUACUGACGCUGAAGAACGAAAGCCAGGGGAGCAAACGGG